ACAGGCUGUACAUCCAGUCCAUCUUUCUAACUAGAAAUCUUCUUAUCUGUUCCUGGAAUUCUGACAGCGAAAUGGAACGUACUAUAACUUGGGUGCUGCCUGACAGUGUGAAUGAGGAGACAGAAGAAAUGAAGGCGGAGUCCCUGAAGAAAAGUGAGGAUUUACUGAGACGGACAAACAUUGAAAGGCAGACUAUCACCAAGGAGUGGAAAGACCUGCAAAGGUUCCUUGAAGAGCAAGGAGAACACGUAUUGCAGAGUCUGGAUGAGCUGGAGCGAGAAAUAAUUCGGAGGAGAGAUCAGCCCAUUUGGGAAGGUCCUGAAAGGAGGUCAACUUUUCAAGAGAAUGUAGACGGCAACCAGAAGCCACUUGCAAAUAGCUUCCUGGGAACGAAGAGGUAUGUUCUGCCUAAUAUUUUUGCUAUCCAUUUAUUAUUUGGGUUGAGGUUGGGACUUGCCUAGACCAUCAGUUAUUGGAGACACGAGAUGGGCUAGGAUUGAGCAGAAAAAAGUGUGUGCGUGCAUGUCUGGUUUAUCAUAAAUCUAAGGUGGCUGGAUAGCUCAGUGGUUUAGGUACCUGGCUGAGGAACCAGCGGUUGGGAGUUCGAUUCCCCCACUGAGCAUUUCAGAAAAGGCAGCCUGUACGGCCUGGGGCAAGCUGCACAGUCUCAAGAUAUCCCCAGAAAAAGGGAAUAUUAAACCACUUUUGAGUAUUCUUUACUUGGAAAACCUUGAAAAAAGUCACCAUAAGUCAGAACUGAUUACACAUUAAGAAAAGCGAGGGACAAAAUAUCUACCCAUCUUUUCAUACUUUUUUUUUUUGAGGGCUGUUACCUUGAAAAUCUCUCAGUUCUCAAGUGGUUUUCACGAUCUGUAUAGAAAGAAAUUGCUUGUGACAGAUAUAGGAAGCAUUAUUUACAGUCUAAAUAGUCUUAAUUUGCUCUGAGCAGGGCCAGUACAUAACCAAAUAUGAUCAGUGAUUAAGUACUGACAUUGUUUGCUGCUAGCGUGUGAUUCCCUAAUUGACUGGGAUCACUCAGAAAGGAAUGAAACAGACAAGAAAUGGGCAUCUCAAAGCAGCAACAAGCAGACAAAACAAGGUUUGCUCAGUUCAUUUAAAAAAAAACAGCCACUGGAGAUUGGAGAAGCUAUUUUUUCCCUUCAGCUCCAAAAAUUCCCCAACCAGCAUGGCCUAAUAAACUGUCCUGGGGAUUCUGCA
Molecule: long non-coding RNA, 1218 nt
Organism: Pogona vitticeps (central bearded dragon)
Lineage: Eukaryota; Metazoa; Chordata; Lepidosauria; Squamata; Agamidae
Source: Ensembl